GAUGAAGAACGCAGCGAAAUGCGAUAAGUAAUGUGAAUUGCAGAAUUCAGUGAAUCAUCGAAUCUUUGAACGCACCUUGCGCCCCUUGGUAUUCCGAGGGGCAUGCCUGUUCGAGCGUCAUUAUAACCCCUCAAGCUCAGCUUGGUGUUGGGGCCUGCUGCACUGGCAGCCCUUAAAAUCAGUGGCGGCGCCAUCUGGCUCUAAGCGUAGUAAUUCUUCUCGCUAUGGAGUCCUGGUGGAUGCUUGCCAUCAACCCCCAAUUUUUCUAUGGUUGACCUCGGAUCAGGUAGGGAUACCCGCUGAACUUAAGCAUAUCAAUAAGCGGAGGA
This 329-nucleotide unclassified non-coding RNA is filed under the name soil metagenome. Its description in RNAcentral is "partial contains 5.8S ribosomal RNA, internal transcribed spacer 2, and large subunit ribosomal RNA". The stretch from base 1 to 120 matches the Rfam family "5.8S ribosomal RNA", at positions 35 to 154 of the family's 154-position model. The record is from RNAcentral.